GACGCACCGGGCGAACGUUAUUCGGAAUCACUGGGCUUAAAGCGCGUGUAGGCGGUGGUAAAAGUCGGAUGUGAAAUCCUAUCGCCUCAACCGUAGAACUGCACCCGAUACUGUACGACUUGAGGAAGGUAGAGGAUUGUGGAACCUAUGGUGGAGCGGUGAAAUGUGUUGAUAUCAUGGGGAACGCCGGUGGCGAAAGCGACAAGCUGGGUCUUUACUGACGCUGAGACGCGAAAGCUAGGGUAGCAAACGGG
This 254-nucleotide ribosomal RNA is filed under the name uncultured bacterium. Its description in RNAcentral is "partial 16S ribosomal RNA". It matches the Rfam family "Bacterial small subunit ribosomal RNA", at positions 524 to 776 of the family's 1533-position model. The record is from RNAcentral.